CCUACGGGUGACAGCAGUGAGGAAUAUUGGUCAAUGGACGGAAGCCUGAACCAGCCAUGCCGCGUGCAGGAAGACGGCUCUAUGAGUUGUAAACUGCUUUUGUACAAGGGUAAACCUGAAUACGUGUAUUCAGCUGAAAGUACUGUACGAAUAAGGAUCGGCUAACUCCGUGCCAGCAGCCGCGGUAAUACGGAGGGUCCAAGCGUUAUCCGGAUUUAUUGGGUUUAAAGGGUGCGUAGGCGGAUUGAUAAGUUAGAGGUGAAAUGUCCGGGCUUAACUCGGGAACUGCCUCUAAUACUGUUGAUCUAGAGAGUAGGUGCGGUAGGCGGAAUGUAUGGUGUAGCGGUGAAAUGCUUAGAGAUCAUGCAGAACACCGAUUGCGAAGGCAGCUUACCAAUCUAUAUCUGACGUUGAGGCACGAAAGCGUGGGGAGCAAACAGGAUUAGAUACCCGUGUAGUC
RNAcentral lists this ribosomal RNA (460 nucleotides) under uncultured bacterium. RNAcentral describes it as "partial 16S ribosomal RNA". It matches the Rfam family "Bacterial small subunit ribosomal RNA", at positions 338 to 795 of the family's 1533-position model. The record is from RNAcentral.